AAAUUGAAGAGUUUGAUCAUGGCUCAGAUUGAACGCUGGCGGCAGGCCUAACACAUGCAAGUCGAACGGUAACAGGAAGAAGCUUGCUUCUUUGCUGACGAGUGGCGGACGGGUGAGUAAUGUCUGGGAAACUGCCUGAUGGAGGGGGAUAACUACUGGAAACGGUAGCUAAUACCGCAUAACGUCGCAAGACCAAAGAGGGGGACCUUCAGGCCUCUUGCCAUCGGAUGUGCCCAGAUGGGAUUAGCUAGUAGGUGGGGUAACGGCUCACCUAGGCGACGAUCCCUAGCUGGUCUGAGAGGAUGACCAG
This 310-nucleotide ribosomal RNA is filed under the name Escherichia coli. RNAcentral's name for it is "bacterial SSU rRNA". It matches the Rfam family "Bacterial small subunit ribosomal RNA", at positions 1 to 307 of the family's 1533-position model. The record is from RNAcentral. Lineage: Bacteria; Pseudomonadati; Pseudomonadota; Gammaproteobacteria; Enterobacterales; Enterobacteriaceae.